Molecule: long non-coding RNA, 353 nt
Filed under: Populus trichocarpa (black cottonwood)
Lineage: Eukaryota; Viridiplantae; Streptophyta; Magnoliopsida; Malpighiales; Salicaceae
Description: long non-coding RNA (PTRI_LNC000867)
Source: RNAcentral
GGGGCAAUGCAUGAGAUUCAAUGGUUUGAUCUUCUGGUUCAGAUUCAGUGUCAGACUGGCUUUCAAUUUUAGACAGGAGAUGCUGUAAUAUGGUAGAGUCUUUCUAAUGGGCUUGUUUCAAGGUUUGUAAUUCAGAUUUAAGGGUUUUGAUCUCAGAAUGUAAUUCUGGAAUGGUGACUGUGGUUUUGGACUUCUUUUUGUUAAGAUUCUUUGUAAGGUCAUAUGUAUUGAUGCUGGUAGAGGGUAAUAGAGAGCGGUUUGGAGGAUUAUAUGGGGGGUGCUCUGGUUGGUUAAAAUCUUUCAACGGUCUAUCCAAGUAGGUUUUUUGAAGAUGAUGAUCAUCAAGUCUUUUG